Lepidothrix coronata (blue-crowned manakin) is the source of this 466-nucleotide long non-coding RNA. RefSeq lists it as uncharacterized. NCBI's taxonomy places the organism in Eukaryota, Metazoa, Chordata, Aves, Passeriformes, Pipridae. The transcript is spliced from 5 exons. The record is from RefSeq and is a predicted model, not a curated record.
AGGAGGGAAAACACGUGUGCCCUGCAGACACACGUGAUCCAGAGCCUGCUGCCACUCUUCUUCCUCUCGCAUGAUGAGAAGGAGCAUCUGGCAGAUGCCUCUUGGGAAGUGCUGAUUUGUGCACUCAGAUUCCUGAAGAGAAGGGAUCUCAAGAACCUGCUGGAGGCAGACAAGCCGUGGUGGUUCUGCGACUGCCUGGUAGAAAGCGAGAAGAAACAAGUGGUGGAGUUCAUGUGGCAGGACCUGCCAUACCUGGAGAGCCCACAGGAGCCCCUGCGAGAGUUGGCCCUCAGGUUCAUUGGGAUCACCGGGAAGUACCUGAGAAAGGGGCAGGAGGACGAGCUCAUCACAGAGGUCAUAAUUGACACCCUUCAAGGCAUGACUGCUGACAGCCCUGCCAUCUCAAGGCGGGCAGUUGAAACCUUGAAAAUCAUCAAGGAUGUCCAGAAAUCUAAACCAACACCAA